This 791-nucleotide ribosomal RNA is filed under the name Nocardiopsis sp. 41747-1. RNAcentral describes it as "bacterial SSU rRNA". It matches the Rfam family "Bacterial small subunit ribosomal RNA", at positions 65 to 859 of the family's 1533-position model. Lineage: Bacteria; Bacillati; Actinomycetota; Actinomycetes; Streptosporangiales; Nocardiopsidaceae. The record is from RNAcentral.
AGCGGUAAGGCCCUUCGGGGUACACGAGCGGCGAACGGGUGAGUAACACGUGAGCAACCUGCCCCUGACUCUGGGAUAAGCGGUGGAAACGCCGUCUAAUACCGGAUACGACCCGCCACCUCAUGGUGGAGGGUGGAAAGUUUUUCGGUCAGGGAUGGGCUCGCGGCCUAUCAGCUUGUUGGUGGGGUAACGGCCUACCAAGGCGAUUACGGGUAGCCGGCCUGAGAGGGCGACCGGCCACACUGGGACUGAGACACGGCCCAGACUCCUGCGGGAGGCAGCAGUGGGGAAUAUUGCGCAAUGGGCGAAAGCCUGACGCAGCGACGCCGCGUGGGGGAUGACGGCCUUCGGGUUGUAAACCUCUUUUACCACCAACGCAGGCUUCCAGUUCUCUGGAGGUUGACGGUAGGUGGGGAAUAAGGACCGGCUAACUACGUGCCAGCAGCCGCGGUAAUACGUAGGGUCCGAGCGUUGUCCGGAAUUAUUGGGCGUAAAGAGCUCGUAGGCGGCGUGUCGCGUCUGCUGUGAAAGACCGGGGCUUAACUCCGGUUCUGCAGUGGAUACGGGCAUGCUAGAGGUAGGUAGGGGAGACUGGAAUUCCUGGUGUAGCGGUGAAAUGCGCAGAUAUCAGGAGGAACACCGGUGGCGAAGGCGGGUCUCUGGGCCUUACCUGACGCUGAGGAGCGAAAGCAUGGGGAGCGAACAGGAUUAGAUACCCUGGUAGUCCAUGCCGUAAACGUUGGGCGCUAGGUGUGGGGACUUUCCACGGUUUCCGCGCCGUAGCUAACGCA